GCCAGCAGCCAUAUCACCCUGCAGCUCUCUACUGGCAACCCACUGAAGCUAACCAGGGUUGAACCUGGUCAGUAUCUGGAUGGAAGAGACUUCCUGGGAAGCUAUGGUUGCUGCUGGAA
RNAcentral lists this ribosomal RNA (119 nucleotides) under Lepisosteus oculatus (spotted gar). Lineage: Eukaryota; Metazoa; Chordata; Actinopteri; Semionotiformes; Lepisosteidae. The record is from RNAcentral.